AUUUUCGAUAUCUUAAUAAUUCAGACGGUACGGCGAAAUCAAAAUCCCUAUGGCUGAGUUGUCUAACUACAAAGCAAAGUUGGAUUCGUUGAUUUCCUUAUAUUUUAGUAUAUUUUCUAAUUUGUAGUCGGUGACUCACUCCCUGCGAACCACUUCAAGCCGUCAUUUUUCAAUCUCCGGUGCAUCUUCUAUUCUUCAAUUCCAUUUCUGUUUAUGAUUCCCUCUGUUUCCGCCUCAAAAUCUGGGAGGUUCAAGGCUCUAGCCAUUUCUUACUAUAGGGCACCAAAAGGAAUCAUUCUAGAGUCUGUUAGUCCAGGAUCUCACCAUGCAAACAACAUCGUAUAGUCAUCCUUUAAUCUGUUUCUCUUGCAGAAACAUCAGUGCAAAUGGGAAGAAUAAAUAUAAGGUGAAAUUCUGUGCACCAUUUACCUCUCAAUGGGAUCGGAAAUGUGAAUUCAAUGGGAGACCUCAAAUUUAUAAUUCUCCUGGCCCCAUAAAACCAAAAAGAUUGUUUGUGCUUCACAACACAGAUGACAGCCAUCCAUCUGCUUCUACGGUAGCUGAUGAAAUGAACACAAACCAUGCUCCAAAUGGCGCAUCACCAGCAUUUCUCAGCAACUGGUCACCUCCAAGGUAUCUGUGGAGGGGGUUAUCAGUUUUAAUCCUGGCAGGGCAGGUGAUUGUCAAAACUCUAAAGGGAAAGAUUCAUUGGAGGAAUACUCUUCAACAACUGGAGAGAGUUGGUCCAAGAUCAGUUGGGGUGUGUCUUUUAACUUCAGCUUUUGUGGGCAUGGCCUUCACAAUUCAAUUUGUAAGAGAGUUCACAAGGUUAGGAUUGAACAGGUCUGUAGGUGGGGUUUUAGCUCUGGCUUUCUCAAGGGAGUUAAGUCCUGUGGUUACAGCAAUUGUGGUUGCAGGGCGUAUUGGAAGUGCUUUUGCAGCAGAGUUAGGAACUAUGCAGGUUUCUGAGCAAACUGAUACAUUGAGAGUUCUUGGUUCAGACCCUGUCGAUUACCUUGUGACACCAAGAGUGAUAGCUACUUGUAUUGCCCUUCCUCUUUUGACCCUAUUGUGUUUUACGUUAGGGAUGGCAUCUAGUGCCAUUCUUGCUGAUGGUGUUUAUGGGGUGAGCAUCAACAUUAUCCUGGAUUCAGCUCAGCGGGCUCUCAGAUCAUGGGAUAUUAUUAGUGCAAUGAUCAAGUCACAGGUUUUUGGUGCUAUCAUAUCUAUUGUGAGUUGUGCGUGGGGAGUUACAACUUUGGGAGGGGCUAAAGGUGUUGGGGAAUCAACGACGUCAGCUGUGGUUAUUUCUCUAGUAGGCAUCUUCAUCGCCGAUUUUGCUCUUUCUUGUUGUUUCUUCCAAGGAGCAGGAGAUCAGCUAAAGAAUUGCAUUUAGGCAACUAAUGUUGUCUCUGCAAUUUGGUUUUUCUCUUUUGUACAAAGUGAAUGGGUAUAAAAUGUACCAGUGGAUAGAAAGAAUUGAAAUGAGGCAAUCAGUGCCUCUGACUUGGAAAGAUAGAGUCAAUGCGGUCCUUUAACAUUAAAGGUGUUAAAAUGUGAUCAUGUGUAAGUUCAAAUUCUCUUUUUCCUCUCCAACCUCAGCUUUUUUGGCAACACAAUCCCACCAACCACCAUCCUGACGACACCUCCACCACCACCACGGCACCCACCACCACCCACCCUCCUCUCCUUCUACCGAUGACAUUGUUCUUGAACCCCCUCCUUCCCUAUAUUUUUCUCUUAUCAGUGUCUCUCCUUCCAUUGAGACAGACACCUUUGCAUUGUUCCUCUGCUUGGUUUGUAUCCGCUAUAAGAGUGUGCAAGAUUAUUGCGCGCUCUAUUUGCAUUGUUUGUGGCUGUUGACAUACAAAUUAUUGUGUGGUUUUGUAAGUGAAACUCAUCAAGGUUUUCUUUCAAGUUGGAGUGCCAAGGGAUUAAGCUUUUUGGGACAUUUCUUUUUCAUCUUGUAGUUUUCCUUU
Vigna radiata var. radiata (mung bean) is the source of this 1979-nucleotide RNA transcript. It is a transcript of the gene named protein TRIGALACTOSYLDIACYLGLYCEROL 1, chloroplastic, with no coding region annotated. NCBI's taxonomy places the organism in Eukaryota, Viridiplantae, Streptophyta, Magnoliopsida, Fabales, Fabaceae. The transcript has 6 exons. The record is from RefSeq and is a predicted model, not a curated record.